This 253-nucleotide ribosomal RNA is filed under the name bacterium. Its description in RNAcentral is "partial 16S ribosomal RNA". It matches the Rfam family "Bacterial small subunit ribosomal RNA", at positions 524 to 776 of the family's 1533-position model. RNAcentral also lists the same sequence under 1 other name. The record is from RNAcentral.
UACAGAGGUCUCAAGCGUUGUUCGGAUUCAUUGGGCGUAAAGGGUGCGCAGGCGGCGUGGAAAGUUGAGUGUGAAAUCCUGGGGCUUAACCUCAGAACUGCACUCAAUACUCCCAUGCUAGAGGAAUGUAGAGGAGAGUGGAAUUCACGGUGUAGCAGUGAAAUGCGUAGAUAUCGUGAGGAAGACCAGUUGCGAAGGCGACUCUCUGGGCAUUUCCUGACGCUCAUGCACGAAGGCCAGGGGAGCAAACGGG